UUGACCCGUUUACAGGCUCGAAACGCCGGUCUCAGUGGCUAUUGAGUUACCCACCAAGUUACCCCGGUUAGAGCUGUUUGGGGUGGCUCACGUUAUUGCGGCAAACUUUGGAGAUGACGGCUGAGUCCUCCGGGCGAACAUGUCAAGCCGAUUGUAAAUGCUGUUAUUUCCACAUCCUUCAGGGACACCAGUCCCUACGAAGACCUUGGGCGAUUUUGAAGUGCGGGCACCUCGAUUCCCCGAAUCUGUAGUGUGGCUGGUAUCGGUGUUCCCCUGGUUUAACUAGCCUGUUUGGCACAACAAAUGAGACCCAAGUGCUCAUAGAACAUUCCAAAGAGUCAACAGAGAGAAGUGGAAAGUAUUAGAAACAUGAUUGUGUUUGCAAAGGGAGACAUAAACAUGGGGAAAUUGAGGCAGAGAAGCCAAGACAUGCGCUAAAGGUCCAUGCAGGCUAUGAAUGGAGCUGGAAUGUAAACGCAGGCCAUGUGACUCCAGAGCCCAUGUUCUUGAACCCUUAGAAAGACAGCAGCAACACACCUGGUGCAGCAGCUGCUUAGUUGGAGUGGCUGACAAGGUUGGCAGAGGAUCCCGUUCCUCCCGUGGAGUGGCUGCCAUGAUACUGCCUGCACUGAAGCUGCUCCUAUUUCUGAAAUAUGUAUUGUUAUUUUUUUCCCUCCAUGUUGAACAUUAUACUCUUCUGUUCUUUCGCAUUCUCUUCUUCCCUUCCAGAUGACUUCUAGGGUUUUUGUGAUUCUGUAAUUCUAAAGGAGAAAGGAUAAUAAGAAUUGUGAGGCCGGGCGCGGUGGCUCACACCUGUAAUCACAGCGCUUUGGGAGGCCAAGGCGGGCGGAUCACUAGGUCAGGAGAUGGAGACCAUCCUGGCUAACACGGUGAAGCCCCGUCUCUACUAAAAAUACAAAAAAUUAGCGGGGCGUGGUGGCGGGCGCCUGUAGUCCCAGCUACUCGGGAGGCUGAGGCAGGAGAAUGGCGUGAACCCGGGAAGCGGAGCUUGCAGUGAGCUGAGAUGGCGCCACUGCACUCCGGCCUGGGCGAAGAGGGAGACUCCAUCUUAAAAAAUUUUUUUAAAAAUUACAAAAAAUUAGCUGGGCGCGGUGGCGGGCGCCUAUAGUCCCAGCUACUCGGGAGGCUGAGGCAGGAGAAUGACGUGAACCCGGGAGGCGGAGCUUGCAGUGAGCCAAAAUCGCACCACUGCACUCCAGCCUGGGCGGCAGAGCGAGACUCCGUCUCAAAAAAAAAAAAGAAUUGUGAUGUGAGUGUCCAAAAAAAACCUGAUUUCCAAUCCUACACACAUAGCUGUUUCCUAGAUACUCCAGAAAAAAUUGUGACUUUCCGGAUACCUAGUUUCCCUCCCUCCCUCCCUCCCUCCCUUCUUCCCUCCCUCCCUCCCUCCCUCCCUCCCUUCCUUCCUUCCUUCCUUCCUCCCUCCCUCCCUUCCUCUCUCUUUCCCUUUCCUUUUCCUUUUCCCUUUCCCUUUCCCUUCCAUUCCCUUCCCCGCUUUUUAUUUCUGGAUACCUGGUGUUCUAUCAGAAUGAGAUCUACACAAGUAUUAUCCUAGCAACACAGGAUCCCACCUACUCAACACACCUUUAAAAAACUCCUAGAAUUGGCUGGGCGCGGUUGCUCACACCUGUAAUCCCAGCACUUUGGGAGGCCGAGGCAGGCAGAUCACGAAGUCAGGAGAUCGAGACCAUCCUGGCCAACAUGGUGAAACCCCGUCUCUGCUAAAAUACAAAAAAUUAGCGGGGCGUAGUAGUACGCGCCUAUAGUCCCAGCUACUCCGGAGCCUGAGGCAGGGGAAUUCCUUGAACUUGGGAGGCGGAGGUUGCAGUGAGCCGAGAUUGCGCCACUGGACUCCAGCCUGGAAACAGAGCGAGACACCGUCACAAACAAACAAACAAACACCCUAGAACUGUACAUUUUUUUUUUAAGUUAGCCAACUUUCUGUGGGCAAUUACAUAAUGUGAGCAGGCAUUAUAUGACUUUGUGCUUUACAUUCAAAGAAAGUUCAAAGCUUUUCUUCUUUUGGAGUGUUUUCCUUUUCCCCCAAGGGAUCUGGGUAAUAUUGAUGUGUUUAGUGUAUUCAAAUCCUAGAAAAGCACAUAUAUAAAAAUGUAAGUUUCUUUUAAUUAAACCUUCUUUCUUUUUUUGUUUUUUCUUAGUACUGUUCAUCAAAAAAAUGGCCAGGUCUGGACUUAAGGGAAUCUUAUUCAAAGUUUUGGGAGAUUUGAAAAGAUAUGUCCCCGUUGAAAUAGAGUCUUGUUUUUUCUUCUAGGAGAGAAUGAUUUCCAGGAAGAGCGGAACACAUAUGGAAGGCCUUAGCUUAUCUUUAGCGCCUCAUACACCCGUUCUGGACUUCAGAAAGGCCAGUGAGUGGGAUUAGGCCUCAGAGAUAGGAUGUCAGUCCCAGUGAGGGAUGGCCUAGAGCAUUCUUUAAUUCUUUCCUUUGGGUCACACAUAAGAAACAAUUUUCCAGCACUGAUGAGUGUUAUUAACAAUGAGAUGGGAUAGAAUUUUGUUUUCCCUAUGGCUGUGCUUCAAGAAUAGAAAAGCUGUCUUUUCUCUGGAAUGAUUGAAUGAAGCUCUGGGGAGGGAAAGGUCGAUUGGCAGAUCUCUUAAAGGAAGCUUCUCCUUCUAGGCACUAUUCCAAGGCUUAAUAUUUUAACUCCCUAUAUUAACCUAGUUCAACUAAACAGUGAUCUGAGUAAUUUUAUUUUUAUUAAAGCUCAGAUCAAAAUGCCAUUAACAUUGAUUGAGAAAAUCAAAGGAAUCUUUGACGUGAGUGGUUAAAUUACUGAAUUAUUUCAGUCCCAUACCCUCACAGCAUGAGUACCUGAUCUGAUAGACUUCUUUGGAAUUCCUUUUUUGUUUGAGACAGAGUCUUGCUCUGUCGCCCAGGCUGGAGUGCAGCGGUGUGAUCUCAACCAUUGCAACCUCCACCUCCCAGGUUCAAGUGAUUCUCAUGCCUCAGCCUCCUGAGUAGCUGGGAUUACAGAUGUGCACCACCAUGCCUGGCUAAUUAUUUUGUAUCUUUAGUAGAGAUGAAGUUUUGCCAUGUGGGCCAGGCUGUUCUCAAACUACUGGCCUCAAGUGAUCUGCCCGCCUCGGCCUCCCAAACUGCUGGGAUUACAGGCGUGAGGCACCGUGCCUGGCUGGGAUUCCAUAAUAAAUCCCUGUGUGUCUAUUUCUUUUUUCAAAUAUAAUUUUCUUCAUUUCCAAACAUCAUCUUUAAGACUCCAAGGAUUUUUCCAGGCACAGUGGCUCAUGCCUGUAAUCCCACUGCUUGGAGAGGCCAAGGUGGAAGUUCAUUUGAGGCCAGGAGUUCGAGACCAGGUGGGCAACAUAGUGAAACCUUGUUUCUACAACAUAAAAUAAAAUAAAAUAAAAUAAAAUAAAAUAAAAUAAAAUAAAACCCUAAGGAAAUAAUGGUGCCUCACUACCUCUCAAAGCUUUUGACCUUCGAGUCAGAAAAUAAAUUAUUUUUAGGAAAGGCAUCUCAACCUUAUUUACAAAUGAACUAUUUGUCAAGAGCAACCUCUAUAAGGAUAAUAGGACUUCCUGGUUUGAAAUGCAGCAUGAACAAUUCUCAGAGGCUCCUGAAAGACUAAGAAUGAGGUUUCUUGAUCCGCCUUCCCUCGGCAUCUUCUCUCACUCUCCUCCCUCCUUCUCAGAAGCUGUGUGCAGCAAUGGGCUAUGCAACUGGUUUCACUGGUGCCUGGUGGAACUUUUAAUUCCUCCCUGUCAGCACAUCCCUAGUCCACUUUCAUAGUUUGGAUAAGGACUGGAUAAGCAGCUGAACUUCUGGGGACUUUUCCAAAUGAAAUUCAACCUUUAGACCUUUGGAGGUUUACCCAGUCUUCCUCACUACCCGAAGAUGAGUUUGGAACAAAUUUUCUCUUAAUGGAUUCUAUUUGUGGGUAGGAGAGGUAAUGACUGCCUUGCUCAGAGUCAUGAGCAUAACUUCAAAUAAGGAAAAAGAGCCUCGCAGGAAUGUGAGAAUAGAUGCGAUCCUGAGGAAGGUGUGUCUGAGGAGGUGCUGGGAGGUUCUGAUCGGCUGUUGAAGGCAGAUACUGUAUCUCACGUGACGGAAGUCACCUCCUGACAUCAGAGUUGUGUUUGAGUGGUAAUUUAAAAAAUAAUAUAGCUGACAAGGAAAUAUGGAAGGCAUUACGUUGCAAUACAGUGAAAUGAACAUACAACAUUCAAGAUCAAUUACCGGGUACUGAUUAGCUGGGAGAAAGGCAAUAAAACUUUAAAAAUAGAAUUGGUAGAAAUAGCACCCUGUCAAGGUGGGACUGAUUAUGCCUCCUGCUGGUUUGUUGCGAGGAAUUCUUUUUUUGGGAAAAUCCUGUUGAAUUGUGUGGCUUGUGAAUCUGGCUCUAGAACUGUUAAUGUUAUAAGAAUUGAAAGAGGACUAUUUAAAAAUACCAAGACAUCUUUUAAAAUUCCUAUUUUUAGAACAGCUACUUGUCAUUAAAAUAAAUCAUUCCAUUUCUAUUUGUCCAGGUUACUGCUUUCACAGCAGGGCCAGGGCUAUGGUGAAGUGUAGGAGGUGCCCAGUCCCCUUCACUGUAGUCAUGGCUCUGUUUCAUGCCACAUGUGUUAUUUUAUAAGUGGUUAAGCCCCACAUAGACAUGCAAACAUGGUACAUCUCUAUGUAUUGGUUUUGGUAAUGUUGUAAAUAAUUGGGAGAAUACAUUAAAAUUUGGUAAUAAUGCUCCUUUGGACUCAGUCUCUUUUUUUUUUUUUUAAGACAGAGUUUCGCUCUUGUUUCCCAGGCUGGAGUGCAAUGGCAUGAUCUUGGCUCAUUGCAACCUCUGCCUCCUGGGUUCAAGCAAGUCUCCUGCCUCAGCCUUCCUGAGUAGCUAGGAUUACAGGCAUGUGCCACUAUGCCUGGCUAAUUUUGUAUUUUUAGUAGAAAAGGGGUUUCUCCAUGUUGGUCAGGCUGGUCUUGAAUUCCCGACCUCAGGUGAUUCCAGUUCUAAUUCCCCAACAGAAUUGUCUUGGUUGCAGUGAGAUAUAUAUAUAUAUAAUUUUUUUUUUUUGAGAUGGAGUCUCGCUCUGUCGCCCACGCUGGAGAGCAGUGGCGCGAUCUUGGCUUGCAGUGAGACAUUUUUAUCCAUCCUGAUCACAGCACUUGCCUCCGGGCUCAUGAAGCCCAGCAUGUUACUGCUGUUCUGAACGUCUCUGCUUUUUGAGAGACAUGUUUAAUGAAUUGGGAGUAUCUGUGCACGUUGCAUUCACUUAAAAAGGGAAAAAUACCUUUUAACAGUUAUAGCUACAGAAAUUCAAUUUAGUUUAUUUAGGAGGAAAUGAGAGACUUGAAUUGUAGGUGUGAAAUCUUACAAUCUUUCAGAAUGAUUUGGUUUGGGGGAUGGUUGGAACUGCAUGGAAUUACUUCAGCCAAAAUAAUUUUUGUGAGCACAUUCCCAAGCUCACGAUCAUGUUUUGAUAAGAAAAAUCCCUUUCUCCACAAGUUCUCAGGUCCCACUCAUUGGCCCCUGCCCUCAUUUCUGGAACCUAUGUUAGGCAGUUAUGUGGCUCAGUUCUUGGUGAUAUGUUUUCAAUUUGAGUCAACUUGAUGAGAGAAAAAUUACUAAAAAGUGGGAAUGAGCUGUGAGGUGAACAGGGUUUUCCUAUCAAAGUGGAGGUAUUUUUAAAAGCAUUUAUUAUUUCAAACUCAAACAUUUAUAGAAAGCCAUGAGUGUGAAGUGUAUGAUUACCAGUUGUGGCUUGCUGCAUUGAAAAAUUCAAGUUCAUAGGAAAUAUUUACUGAGGCUCUGGUUUGCAAGCAGUUUGUUCAAGAGAACAAUUUGGUCCAGAAGGCAAGUCAGCUAAAAAAGAGUUUACUAAUAUAGUAGUAACAGGCAAUUAGGAUUCAUAAGCAUCGCCAUGGCUGAGACAUGAUUUAAGGUCUUAGAUGGAAAGAGUUCUGUUAUUAAGAUAACAGAAUUUAAAUGCUGUAUCUGUCUAGGUCUUAUGCAUGCCAGAAGUGAGAAAACUACUCCUUCAUUUUCCAUUUUUAUGAGCUCUGAUGUAACACAGUUGUUUUUUUUUUUUUCUGUGUUGAAAAUGAUGAAUAUAGUUCUUGGCACAUUUGUUCCAUAGUAAAGAAGAAUUUAACUUGCAAGUGAAAAACCUCUGCCUUUGGCCAUGGAUUAAAAAGAUGUUAUAUGAUGAAGUUUACUUCCUAAGGAAAGGUUAGUUUUGUGUGGCACUUUCUGAAAAUUUGUUUGGGACAUAUACAAUUCUUUUGUAUAAAUUCUGGAGGUCUGAGGAAAAUUACUUAAUCCCAGUAGAUGAGAACAUUUCUUUUUGUGUGAAUUGAGUUCUUAUCAAGGUUCUGAUGUUUUUUCUCACGUAUUUGCCCUUGGGUUCAUCUCAAUACAAUGCAUUUGUGUACUAUUGAAUAAAAAGCAGGCUGCAACAGUAUUUAUGACAUAUGAUCCUAUAUACACGUAAAAUCGUGUGUGUGUGUGUGUGUGUGCACAUGUAUAUAAAAAAACUACAUUGUUAAAGUUGUUAAUAGUUAACUCUGGGUGGUGGGUUUUAAGUGAUUAUUAUUUUCUUUGUAUGAGAAAAAUAGUGCACAGUUUUCUUUUGUUGUUAUGAAAGGUGUCAUACAUUUGAAAGAGGACAUAUGCACAGUUUAAAUAAUAAUAACAUAGUGAAUACCCACUGCUUGGCUGAAAAAAAUAAUAUAUUACUCUGUUGUAGAAGGCAAGCCUUCCUUCUGCCCCUGCCUCUGUCAUGGAGGUAGCUACUUGCUUGAAUUUUGUGCUAAUCAUGUCUUUGCUUUCUUAUAUAGUUUAGCCAGCUGUGAAUGUCUCCAUAAAACAUACACAGUUUUCUUUUGAUUGUUUUUGAACUUUAAAUAAAUGAAAUCAUACUGGAU
This 6913-nucleotide long non-coding RNA is filed under the name Pan troglodytes (chimpanzee). RNAcentral's name for it is "long non-coding RNA NONPTRT012795". The record is from RNAcentral. Lineage: Eukaryota; Metazoa; Chordata; Mammalia; Primates; Hominidae.